CAAUAGCGUAUAUUAAAGUUGUUACAGUUAAAAAGCUCGUAGUUGAAUUUCUGGCGGGCGCGCCGGUCUUCCAAGUGUUGUACUGGGCGCAGUCCGCCAUCCUUGUGGAGAGGGCUCGCAUUGAGUUGCGUGUCGGAUCUGCAUCAUUUACUGUGAAAAAAUUAGAGUGUUUAAAGCAGGCUGUCGCUUGAAUACAUUAGCAUGGAAUAAUAAGAUAGGACUUCGGUCUAUUUUGUUGGUUGCGAACCGAGGUAAUGAUUAAUAGGGAUAGUUGGGGGUAUUCAUAUUUAAUUGUCAGAGGUGAAAUUCUUGGAUUUAUGAAAGAUGAACAACUGCGAAAGCAUUUACCAAGGAUGUUUUCAUUAA
This 366-nucleotide ribosomal RNA is filed under the name uncultured eukaryote. RNAcentral describes it as "partial 18S ribosomal RNA". It matches the Rfam family "Eukaryotic small subunit ribosomal RNA", at positions 592 to 976 of the family's 1831-position model. The record is from RNAcentral.